Molecule: ribosomal RNA, 301 nt
Filed under: uncultured bacterium
Lineage: Bacteria
Description: partial 16S ribosomal RNA
Rfam family: Bacterial small subunit ribosomal RNA
Source: RNAcentral
CAGUAGCCGCGGGAAUACGUAGGUGGCAAGCGUUGUCCGGAAUUAUUGGGCGUAAAGGGCUCGCAGGCGGCUUCUUAAGUCUGAUGUGAAAGCCCCCGGCUCAACCGGGGAGGGUCAUUGGAAACUGGGAAACUUGAGUGCAGAAGAGGAGAGUGGAAUUCCACGUGUAGCGGUGAAAUGCGUAGAGAUGUGGAGGAACACCAGUGGCGAAGGCGACUCUCUGGUCUGUAACUGACGCUGAGGAGCGAAAGCGUGGGGAGCGAACAGGAUUAGAUACCCCUGUAGUCCCUGUCUCUUAUAA